AACCUGGUUGAUCCUGCCAGUAGUCAUACGCUCGUCUCAAGGAUUAAGCCAUGCAUGUGUAAGUUCAAUGAUUUGACCAAAAAACUGCGAAUGGCUCAUUAUAUCAGUUAUAGUUUAUUUGAUAGUCCCUUACUACCUGGAUACCCGUAGUAAUUCUAGAGCUAAUACAUGCGUAAACACUCGACCUUUGGAAGAGUGGUAUUUAUUAGAUUGAAACCAUCCCAGCUUGCUGGUGAUUUGGUGAUUCACAAUAACUAAUCGGAUCGCAUGGGUUAACCCCGGCGAUGGAUCAUUCAAGUUUCUGUCCUAUCAGAUGCGACGGUAAUGUAUUGGGUUACCGUGUCAGUGACGGGUAACGGAGGAUUAGGGUUCGAUUCCGGAGAGGGAGCCUGAGAGACGGCUACC
This 405-nucleotide ribosomal RNA is filed under the name uncultured marine eukaryote. RNAcentral describes it as "bacterial SSU rRNA". It matches the Rfam family "Eukaryotic small subunit ribosomal RNA", at positions 1 to 411 of the family's 1831-position model. The record is from RNAcentral.